Molecule: ribosomal RNA, 520 nt
Filed under: uncultured Glomeromycotina
Lineage: Eukaryota; Fungi; Glomeromycota
Description: SSU rRNA
Rfam family: Eukaryotic small subunit ribosomal RNA
Source: RNAcentral
AGCAGCCGCGGUAAUUCCAGCUCCAAUAGCGUAUAUUAAAGUUGUUGCAGUUAAAAAGCUCGUAGUUGAAUUUCGGGAUUAGUAAGUUGGUCGUGCCUCUGGUAUGUACUGGCUUUACUGGUUCCUCCCUCUUGAAGAACUGUAAUGUCAUUAAUUUGGUGUUGCAGGGAAACAGGACUGUUACUUUGAAAAAAUUAGAGUGUUUAAAGCAGGCUAACGCUUGAAUACAUUAGCAUGGAAUAAUGAAAUAGGACGUUUGAUCCUAUUUUGUUGGUUUCUAGGAUUGACGUAAUGAUUAAUAGGGAUAGUUGGGGGCAUUAGUAUUCAAUUGUCAGAGGUGAAAUUCUUGGAUUUAUUGAAGACUAACUACUGCGAAAGCAUUUGCCAAGGAUGUUUUCAUUAAUCAAGAACGAAAGUUAGGGGAUCGAAGACGAUCAGAUACCGUCGUAGUCUUAACCAUAAACUAUGCCGACUAGGGAUCGGAUGAUGUUAAUUUUUUAAUGACUCAUUCGGCGCCUUA